RNAcentral lists this ribosomal RNA (415 nucleotides) under Marinobacter sp. RNAcentral describes it as "bacterial SSU rRNA". It matches the Rfam family "Bacterial small subunit ribosomal RNA", at positions 505 to 916 of the family's 1533-position model. Lineage: Bacteria; Pseudomonadati; Pseudomonadota; Gammaproteobacteria; Pseudomonadales; Marinobacteraceae. The record is from RNAcentral.
GUGCCAGCAGCCGCGGUAAUACGGAGGGUGCAAGCGUUAAUCGGAAUUACUGGGCGUAAAGCGCGCGUAGGUGGUUUGAUAAGCGAGAUGUGAAAGCCCCGGGCUCAACCUGGGAACGGCAUUUCGAACUGUCAGGCUAGAGUAUGGUAGAGGAGUGUGGAAUUUCCUGUGUAGCGGUGAAAUGCGUAGAUAUAGGAAGGAACACCAGUGGCGAAGGCGGCACUCUGGACCAAUACUGACACUGAGGUGCGAAAGCGUGGGGAGCAAAACAGGAUUAGAUACCCUGGUAGUCCACGCUGUAAACGAUGUCAACUAGCCGUUGGGACUCUUGAAGUCUUAGUGGCGCAGCUAACGCACUAAGUUGACCGCCUGGGGAGUACGGCCCGCAAGGUUUAAAACUCAAAUGAAUUGACGG